AGUUGAUCAUGGCUCAGAGUGAACGCUGGCGGCAGGCCUAAUACAUGCAAGUCGAACGGCAGCACAGCAGAGCUUGCUCUGUGGGUGGCGAGUGGCGGACGGGUGAGGAAUACAUGGGAAUCUGCCCAGUCGUGGGGGAUAACGUAGGGAAACUUACGCUAAUACCGCAUGCGCCCUUCGGGGGAAAGCCGGGGACCUUCGGGCCUGGCGCGAUUGGAUGAGCCCAUGUCGGAUUAGCUAGUUGGCGGGGUAAUGGCCCACCAAGGCGACGAUCCGUAGCUGGUCUGAGAGGAUGAUCAGCCACACUGGAACUGAGACACGGUCCAGACUCCUACGGGAGGCAGCAGUAGGGAAUAUUGGACAAUGGGCGCAAGCCUGAUCCAGCCAUGCCGCGUGAGUGAAGAAGGCCCUCGGGUUGUAAAGCUCUUUUGUCCGGAAAGAAAAGCGCCGGGUUAAUACCCUAGUGUCCUGACGGUACCGGAAGAAUAAGCACCGGCUAACUUCGUG
Molecule: ribosomal RNA, 507 nt
Filed under: uncultured bacterium
Lineage: Bacteria
Description: bacterial SSU rRNA
Rfam family: Bacterial small subunit ribosomal RNA
Source: RNAcentral